Acanthosepion pharaonis is the source of this 109-nucleotide non-coding RNA. The record is from the annotation of a GenBank genome assembly. NCBI's taxonomy places the organism in Eukaryota, Metazoa, Mollusca, Cephalopoda, Sepiida, Sepiidae.
UUACGACCGUAUCACAUUGAAACGCCGGUUCUCGUAUGACCACCGAAGUUAAGCAACGCCGAGCCUGGUUAGUAAAUGGAUGGCCGCUUGGGAAUAUCAGGUGCUGUAA